GACAGAGGGUGCAAACGUUGUUCGGAAUUACUGGGCGUAAAGCGCGUGUAGGCGGCUUUGCAAGUCGGAUGUGAAAUCCCACGGCUCAACCGUGGAAGUGCAUCCGAAACUGCAUCGCUGGAGUCUCGGAGAGGAAGGUGGAAUGCUUGGUGUAGAGGUGAAAUUCGUAGAUAUCAAGCAGAACACCUGCGGCGAAGGCGGCCUUCUGGACGAUGACUGACGCUGAGACGCGAAAGCGUGGGGAGCAAACAGG
RNAcentral lists this ribosomal RNA (253 nucleotides) under uncultured bacterium. RNAcentral's name for it is "partial 16S ribosomal RNA". It matches the Rfam family "Bacterial small subunit ribosomal RNA", at positions 524 to 776 of the family's 1533-position model. The record is from RNAcentral.